This 880-nucleotide ribosomal RNA is filed under the name uncultured bacterium. RNAcentral's name for it is "bacterial SSU rRNA". It matches the Rfam family "Bacterial small subunit ribosomal RNA", at positions 44 to 916 of the family's 1533-position model. The record is from RNAcentral.
AUGCUUUACACAUGCAAGUCGAACGGCAGCACGGGAGCUUGCUCCUGGUGGCGAGUGGCGAACGGGUGAGUAAUGCGUCGGAACGUACCGAGUAAUGGGGGAUAACGCAGCGAAAGUUGUGCUAAUACCGCAUACGCCCUGAGGGGGAGAGUGGGGGAUCGUAAGACCUCACGUUAUUCGAGCGGCCGACGUCUGAUUAGCUAGUUGGUGGGGUAAAGGCCUACCAAGGCGACGAUCAGUAGCGGGUCUGAGAGGAUGAUCCGCCACACUGGGACUGAGACACGGCCCAGACUCCUACGGGAGGCAGCAGUGGGGAAUUUUGGACAAUGGGGGCAACCCUGAUCCAGCCAUUCCGCGUGAGUGAAGAAGGCCUUCGGGUUGUAAAGCUCUUUCAGCUGGAACGAAACGGUACGCGCUAACAUCGUGUGCUAAUGACGGUACCAGCAGAAGAAGCACCGGCUAACUACGUGCCAGCAGCCGCGGUAAUACGUAGGGUGCGAGCGUUAAUCGGAAUUACUGGGCGUAAAGCGUGCGCAGGCGGACUGUUAAGCAAGAUGUGAAAUCCCCGGGCUUAACCUGGGAAUGGCAUUUUGAACUGGCAGUCUAGAGUGCGUCAGAGGGGGGUGGAAUUCCACGUGUAGCAGUGAAAUGCGUAGAGAUGUGGAGGAACACCGAUGGCGAAGGCAGCCCCCUGGGAUGACACUGACGCUCAUGUACGAAAGCGUGGGUAGCAAACAGGAUUAGAUACCCUGGUAGUCCACGCCCUAAACGAUGUCAACUGGUUGUUGGGGGAGUGAAAUCCCUUAGUAACGAAGCUAACGCGUGAAGUUGACCGCCUGGGGAGUACGGUCGCAAGAUUAAAACUCAAAGGAAUUGACGG